Molecule: ribosomal RNA, 402 nt
Filed under: uncultured Rhodoplanes sp.
Lineage: Bacteria; Pseudomonadati; Pseudomonadota; Alphaproteobacteria; Hyphomicrobiales; Nitrobacteraceae
Description: bacterial SSU rRNA
Rfam family: Bacterial small subunit ribosomal RNA
Source: RNAcentral
UAGGGAAUAUUGGACAAUGGGGGCAACCCUGAUCCAGCAAUGCCGCGUGAGUGAUGAAGGCCUUAGGGUUGUAAAGUCCUUUCGGCGGGGAAGAUAAUGACGGUACCCGCAGAAGAAGCCCCGGCUAACUUCGUGCCAGCAGCCGCGGUAAUACGAAGGGGGCUAGCGUUGCUCGGAAUCACUGGGCGUAAAGCGCACGUAGGCGGAUUCUUAAGUCGGUGGUGAAAUCCUGGAGCUCAACUCCAGAACUGCCUUCGAUACUGGGAGUCUUGAGUCCGGGAGAGGUGAGUGGAACUGCGAGUGUAGAGGUGAAAUUCGUAGAUAUUCGCAAGAACACCAGUGGCGAAGGCGGCUCACUGGCCCGGUACUGACGCUGAGGUGCGAAAGCGUGGGGAGCAAACA